GUCCCAUCAUAGCCCAUAUAAAACCUUUUUACAACUGAAUAACCACUGUCAUACCUUUAUAGGGUCCAGAGUUGUCCUAGUUAGGUUAACAGAUAAGCAAAAACUCCAGUCCCCAGGGGGUAAAAAUUGCCCCACCGCUCUGGGAUCUAUGGUGCCGCUAGUCUGCUUGCCGAGAUGCGUAUUCUGUGUUUGACUUUAUGAAUUUUGAGAUGUCUGUUUAACUACAUAGAGAAACUUGUUGUCCAGACUUACGAUGGCACAGCUGUAAUGGAAUGCAUCUGCUAUUUGUAUUUACAUAUACCGUAAUUUCCGGACUAUUAAGCCGCACCCACUGAAUUUUUCACAAAUUAUUAUUUUGAACAUAAAUAAGCCGCACAUGACUAUAAGGCGCAGGUGCCUACCAGUACAUUGAAACAAAUGAACUUUACACAGGCUUUAGCGAAACACGGCUUGUAACAAAAAUAAAUAGGCUUUAACGAAGCAUGGCUUGUAACAAAAAUAAAUAGGCUUUAACGAAACACGGCUUGUAACAAAAAAUAAAACAUUUGCAGUAAACAGUAGCCUACCAAGAAAGUCAUUGGUCACCAUCUUCCUUCUCCUGUGCACUGAAACCACUGAAGUCAUCUCCUUCGGUGUCGGAGUUGAAUAGCCUCAAAAUUGCUUCAUCCGAUAUUGGAUCGUUUUCAUUGUCGCUCUCGUCACUUUCAUCCGGAGGCAAAUCCCCCGCUGAGCCCUCUUAAACAUGCAGCAGUCCAGCCUUUCGAAAACCCGUUGAUGAUAGUGGAUUUUUUUGACAAUGCUCCACGCUGUCAGGACCCACUGGCAGACUUGACCAUAAGUUGCUCUUCACAUGCGGCCCGUUUUAGUGAAGGACUUCUCCCCACUUGUCAUCCAAGCCUCCCGCUGAACACGGAGCGCCACCUUAAAUGCACGAUUUACACUGAUGUCGAGUGGCUGCAAAUACUUUGUUGUACCCCCAGGAAUCAGGGUGACAAAAUGACUACAACUUUUCCCAAAUUUAUGUAAUUGGUUCAGAGUUUGUUUUGUACAGCAGCAGUAGACGUCGCGAUCUCGUUUGAUGUGGGGGGACAAAAUACAUUUAUGCACGAUGGCGCACGAUGGCGCACACGCACAGCCGGUUCGGGUUCCGUUUUAGGCACUGCAUCUCAGCGCUAGACACGUCACGAUUCCAGGCUGUAUCGCAACUGGCCUGAUUGGGAGUCCCAUAGCACGG
RNAcentral lists this long non-coding RNA (1234 nucleotides) under Salmo salar (Atlantic salmon). RNAcentral's name for it is "lncRNA (ENSSSAG00000110137.1, ENSSSAG00075036334.1)". The record is from RNAcentral. Lineage: Eukaryota; Metazoa; Chordata; Actinopteri; Salmoniformes; Salmonidae.